RNAcentral lists this ribosomal RNA (534 nucleotides) under uncultured bacterium. Its description in RNAcentral is "partial 16S ribosomal RNA". It matches the Rfam family "Bacterial small subunit ribosomal RNA", at positions 355 to 899 of the family's 1533-position model. The record is from RNAcentral.
UGGGGAAUAUUGCACAAUGGGCGCAAGCCUGAUGCAGCAACGCCGCGUGAGGGACGACGGCCUUCGGGUUGUAAACCUCUUUUAGUAGGGAAGAAGCGAAAGUGACGGUACCUGCAGAAAAAGCACCGGCUAACUACGUGCCAGCAGCCGCGGUAAUACGUAGGGUGCGAGCGUUGUCCGGAAUUAUUGGGCGUAAAGAGCUCGUAGGCGGUCUGUCGCGUCUGCUGUGAAAACCCGAGGCUCAACCUCGGGCCUGCAGUGGGUACGGGCAGACUAGAGUGCGGUAGGGGAGAAUGGAAUUCCUGGUGUAGCGGUGGAAUGCGCAGAUAUCAGGAGGAACACCGAUGGCGAAGGCAGUUCUCUGGGCCGUAACUGACGCUGAGGAGCGAAAGCGUGGGGAGCGAACAGGAUUAGAUACCCUGGUAGUCCACGCCGUAAACGUUGGGCGCUAGAUGUGGGGCACCAUUCCACGGUUUCCGUGUCGCAGCUAACGCAUUAAGCGCCCGCCUGGGGAGUACGGCCGCAAGGCUAAAA